UAUCUGCGAGAAUGCGGGGAUUGUGGU
Molecule: non-coding RNA, 27 nt
Filed under: Bombyx mori (domestic silkworm)
Lineage: Eukaryota; Metazoa; Arthropoda; Insecta; Lepidoptera; Bombycidae
Source: RNAcentral